This 29-nucleotide non-coding RNA is filed under the name Homo sapiens (human). The record is from RNAcentral. Lineage: Eukaryota; Metazoa; Chordata; Mammalia; Primates; Hominidae.
UACCAGAUCAGGAGCUGCACCAGGACCAC